CUACGGGAGGCACCAGUGGGGAAUAUUGCACAAUGGGCGCAAGCCUGAUGCAGCAACGCCGCGUGGGGGACGACGGCCUUCGGGUUGUAAACCUCUUUUAGUAGGGAAGAAGCGCAAGUGACGGUACCUACAGAAAAAGCACCGGCUAACUACGUGCCAGCAGCCGCGGUAAUACGUAGGGUGCAAGCGUUGUCCGGAAUUAUUGGGCGUAAAGAGCUCGUAGGCGGUUUGUCGCGUCUGCUGUGAAAAUCCGAGGCUCAACCUCGGACCUGCAGUGGGUACGGGCAAACUAGAGUGCGGUAGGGGAGAUUGGAAUUCCUGGUGUAGCGGUGGAAUGCGCAGAUAUCAGGAGGAACACCAAUGGCGAAGGCAGAUCUCUGGGCCGUAACUGACGCUGAGGAGCGAAAGCGUGGGGAGCGAACAGGAUUAGAUACCCGGGUAGUC
RNAcentral lists this ribosomal RNA (444 nucleotides) under uncultured bacterium. RNAcentral describes it as "partial 16S ribosomal RNA". It matches the Rfam family "Bacterial small subunit ribosomal RNA", at positions 339 to 795 of the family's 1533-position model. The record is from RNAcentral.